AUUGAACGCUAGCGGCAGGCCUAACACAUGCAAGUCGAACGCGUGGCGGACGGGUGAGUAAUGUCUGGGAACCUGCCCGAUGUAGGGGGAUAACUACCGGAAACGGUAGCUAAUACCGCAUACCAUCGGAUGUGUCCAGAUGGGAUUAGCUAGUAGGUGGGGUAACGGAGCACCUAGGCGACGAUCCCUAGCUGGUCUGAUAGGAUGGCCAGCCACACUGGAACUGAGACACGGUCCAGACUCCUACGGGAGGGAGCAGAGGGGAAUGUUGCACAGUGGGCGGAAGCCUGAUGCAGCCAUGCCGCGUGUAUGCAGGAGGCAUUCGGGUUGUAAAGGACUUUCAGCGAGGAGGCGUUACUCGCGGAAUAAGCACCGGCUAACUCCGUGCCAGCAGCCGCGGUAAUAC
This 406-nucleotide ribosomal RNA is filed under the name uncultured bacterium. RNAcentral's name for it is "partial 16S ribosomal RNA". It matches the Rfam family "Bacterial small subunit ribosomal RNA", at positions 30 to 526 of the family's 1533-position model. The record is from RNAcentral.